GGCUCAGAUUGAACGCUGGCGGCAGGCUUAACACAUGCAAGUCGAGCGGUAGCACAGGAGAGCUUGCUCUCUGGGUGACGAGCGGCGGACGGGUGAGUAAUGUCUGGGAAACUGCCCGAUGGAGGGGGAUAACCACUGGAAACGGUGGCUAAUACCGCAUAACGUUUACGGACCAAAGAGGGGGACCUUCGGGCCUCUUGCCAUCGGAUGUGCCCAGAUGGGAUUAGCUAGUAGGUGGGGUAACGGCUCACCUAGGCGACGAUCCCUAGCUGGUCUGAGAGGAUGACCAGCCACACUGGAACUGAGACACGGUCCAGACUCCUACGGGAGGCAGCAGUGGGGAAUAUUGCACAAUGGGCGCAAGCCUGAUGCAGCCAUGCCGCGUGUGUGAAGAAGGCCUUCGGGUUGUAAAGCACUUUCAGCGAGGAGGAAGGCCAAUAGCUU
This 444-nucleotide ribosomal RNA is filed under the name Serratia odorifera. RNAcentral describes it as "bacterial SSU rRNA". It matches the Rfam family "Bacterial small subunit ribosomal RNA", at positions 21 to 461 of the family's 1533-position model. Lineage: Bacteria; Pseudomonadati; Pseudomonadota; Gammaproteobacteria; Enterobacterales; Yersiniaceae. The record is from RNAcentral.